RNAcentral lists this long non-coding RNA (228 nucleotides) under Jatropha curcas. Its description in RNAcentral is "long non-coding RNA (JCUR_LNC000432)". The record is from RNAcentral. Lineage: Eukaryota; Viridiplantae; Streptophyta; Magnoliopsida; Malpighiales; Euphorbiaceae.
UUUUUUAUAUUUUUGGUUGGUUUUCUAUAAAAAUCCUACAAAAUUUCUCAAGCUCAAGUGAAAUAUGAUUCGAGGAAGCUCUGAAUAAAAACAUAAAUAAAAUUAAAUAAAAACAAAUUAAAGUAAUUAAAAAUACUAAAAAUCCUAAUAAAACUAUAGUAGAAAUACUAUAAAAAUAACACAUAUCAUAUAUCUUUACUAAUUAUUUAUUUAUAAUUUAAAAAGUAC